GGCGGCAGUGGUGGUGGUGGGUCAAAACGACCAAGGAAGGGCACUCUUGGCGUGGUAGCAAGCAGAAUCUUCUGCACAUGGUCCCACGACUACGUCCUCAUUGUUGGCUACCAACACCUCCUCUUCUACUGCCAUUACUAGAAAUAGAGACUUAAGAUAAAUGGAAGUGAAAUCAGAGGACUGAAGGCAUAAUUUGGGCCUUUGAGACCAUGUCCCUUACCCCCUGCCAAAGUGUCAAGACUCAC
RNAcentral lists this long non-coding RNA (245 nucleotides) under Monodelphis domestica (gray short-tailed opossum). RNAcentral's name for it is "lncRNA (ENSMODG00000038150.1)". The record is from RNAcentral. Lineage: Eukaryota; Metazoa; Chordata; Mammalia; Didelphimorphia; Didelphidae.